UGGGGAAUAUUGCACAAUGGGCGCAAGCCUGAUGCAGCCAUGCCGCGUGUGUGAAGAAGGCCUUCGGGUUGUAAAGCACUUUCAGCGGGGAGGAAGGCGAUAAGGUUAAUAACCUUGUCGAUUGACGUUACCGACAGAAGAAGCACCGGCUAACUCCGUGCCAGCAGCCGCGGUAAUACGGAGGGUGCAAGCGUUAAUCGGAAUUACUGGGCGUAAAGCGCACGCAGGCGGUUGAUUGAGUCAGAUGUGAAAUCCCCGGGCUUAACCCGGGAAUUGCAUCUGAUACUGGUCAGCUAGAGUCUUGUAGAGGGGGUAGAAUUCCAUGUGUAGCGGUGAAAUGCGUAGAGAUGUGGAGGAAUACCGGUGGCGAAGGCGGCCCCCUGGACAAAGACUGACGCUCAGGUGCGAAAGCGUGGGGAGCAAACAGG
RNAcentral lists this ribosomal RNA (428 nucleotides) under Chloroflexota bacterium. RNAcentral's name for it is "Chloroflexi bacterium partial 16S ribosomal RNA". It matches the Rfam family "Bacterial small subunit ribosomal RNA", at positions 355 to 776 of the family's 1533-position model. The record is from RNAcentral. Lineage: Bacteria; Bacillati; Chloroflexota.